CACCGUGCCUCUGCGUCGCCGUGGCCUUUGCCAGGGUAGGCCCGACCCCCAGAGCGAGGAACGUGGCGGCCUUGCUGCCCGGCCGGUUCCUGUGCCUGCCCGAUUACACCAGCGGCUGCCGGAAUGGCUGCGGGAUGGCCCGGCUCCCAGGUGGUGUGGAGAAGAGCCUGGGCCUAAUGGGUCCUGAACCUCUCACCUGGGCCUGCACUUGCAGCUGACAUGGAGCUCGCGUCGGGGGGAGGGGGUGUUCUCCCAUCCCGUCACCACCAGGCCUGAGGGUCCUCUCCCCACAGAAACCGGGAGAAGACUGGGACAGAGGGAGCAGCGCUUCCCCUGCUCCCGUGCUCCUCUACCCCCGUGCAGUCUGUGAGGCGGGACGCCCCAAAGGCGGAUCCAUGCACCAUUCAGGAGAGUCGUGCAAAUUCUGUGUGAGGCUUUGUCCCCAAACUCCCAAAUUUGAAUGGGAUUCACACGCUUUAUUUCCAAAAAAGAAAUUUUUGUUUUCAAUUUAUGCCCUGCUAUAGUUCUCAAAUAGUGACUAAAAAUCAUAUCUAUCAAUGUCCUGGGACUGAAGCAUUUGGAAAAUGAAGCAGAGGGGUCAUGAAAUUAGUUUUAUUAAAUGACCCACAGAAUGAAGCAUUAAUACUUACACCUGUUCUUAUAUUUGGGAGCAGUUCCAAUGCUGGGAAAUAAUUCUUUUCACACAUUCAGUUGCAUUUGGCUUGAAGCCACGGUAUGAAUAAGGUGCAUAAAUCCAUACUGAGUUUUGCAUCCAUGUUGUUACAUUUCUGUAUGCUUCUAUAUUAUAUAAGUAAGGCCAUCCAAGGAUAGCUGAGACUUCAUUUUCUCUGCUAAAUUUGUUGCACUGCAUUAAAACCUCUCUCUCUGCUUGUAACUAGUAGAAAACUAAACACAAAGGAGGAGAAAAUGGUCCUAAAUGUAUGAAAGCAUGAGCGACAGAGUUGCACAAGACUAGAGACAAGUUCAUAUUGCUUCAGAGUUUACCUGGACACUGUGUCUUUUCAGGAGAAAGCUAAGAAAUACAUACAGCAAUUUUUUUUGGGUCCCCUCCCCCUCUCCACAGUCCAAGUCAGCAUUUCUGUUCUUCCUGAGCCUGCUAUGGCACAGGAGGUGCUCCCAGAGUAAGAGUCUGUAUGUCCUACUAAAACCAGAUAAUGCCUCAACCACCUCAGACUAAGAAAAUGAAAACUCCAUGAUCAAAAGGGACUAGUUAAGGGUCUCCACUUUUAUUUAUUCAAAUGAAGAGAAUGUUGUAGAAUGCUAAUUUUCUGCAAUUUCACUUACUUGAAAUCACACAGGAAAACCAGUGAUAAAAUCCAAGUCCUUGCUUUUACCAUUUAAUUAUAUUCUCUUUGCAUGCAGUUUCCUUUUUCUGAUCAAAAGACCACUCCAUAUGUAAGAGAAAGCUUAAAAGAGAUCCAAGUUCAGUCAGAAAUCUGAGGCACAAAUAGAAUGGCAGAGUUCUCAUCCCAGCUGAUGAACAGUAUGACACCAGUUACUCGACAAGAAGUUCUUGGUCUUUACCGCAAGAUAUUCCGAAUAGCCAAAAAAUGGCAAUCAGCAUCAGGACAGAUAGAAGAAACUAUUAAAGAGAAAGAGUACAUUAAAAAUGAAGCCAAAACAUUAUUCAAAAAAAACAAAAAUGUAAUGGAUCCAAAGUUGAUCAAGCAGUGUAUAGAUGAAUGUGAGGCAAGAAUAGAAAUUGGACUUCACUAUAACAUCCCCUACCCAAGACCUAUCCACCUGCCUCCAAUGGGUCUUGCCCAUAAACAAGGCCGUACGUUGCGACACCAGGAAAAGUUAAGGAAGAUUUCUAAACCCAUAUACCUGAAAUCCCAUGACGAAGUUUCAUAACCCACCAUUUAAACUGUGAUGCGUAAUCCCAUAACUUAAAAUGUGGAUGGUAAUCCAGGUGAUUUGUGUGCACAACUGUGAACGAAGCUGUUUUGGUCACUUGCUCACACAUUUCCUGAGGCCAAAAAGCUAACUGAUACAUUGCAUAUGAUGGAUAAGCACCAGAAGGCAAAGACUGAAAUUUGUUAAAACCUCAGGCUGUUCAGCCAAAGGAGAGAUUAAAUCAACUCUUUUGUCAAGUCCGGAGAGCAAAACCCUUCUUUCACAUCUUAAGUUAAACUCUGUAUGGAAAAGAAAAUCUGCCUUAAAUACAAUCCUUUGGUUUUGGAGGUCAGACUGGCAAACUACCAUUUUGAAGGAGUUGCAUAAAAAAAUUUCAUCUGCAACUCAGUCCAGCGGGUAGGCAGAUGUCUCAACGGGUACUCAUUGUAUUAAAUUCCAAGGGCCGUAUAACUUCUGUCAAGAAGUAUCCCAACAAUGGUGCAAUGUCAUUCCUACACAUUAAUUUUACCUGCAGAAAGAUGUCCAAAAAUGCCUCUGAGUUCUUGCGAGUUUGUAAUGCGCUGGAUUCAAUCAGUGUACACUCUGUCCUGUACGUCCUUAACCUUCUCUUACUCCCCUUCCAGUAAAUACUGUCUCUUCCCAAUUUAUCACACUAGUCAGGAGAUGCUUUAGAAUAAUUUAGAAUAAAAAGAUGACAUUCAUUUUAUACUCUUUAGAAAUAAAAAUCCAGAGUCAGUUGCAUGACUUCUCCUGCAAGCUAACUGGUAGGCAAUGCAGUAUUAAUUUGUUGACAUGGUAUCUGGCCUUGAAUAUCUAAAUAACACAUCCUCUCUGGAAAUUCUGUCCCUAACUUCAUCAUUAAUAAGGUUGUAAUUUAUGAAACUUAUGAAACCAAAUUUAACACUAACAUUAGCAAGCAUACUGUCAUUUAAGAGGAUGGACUUGGCACCCGCUUACUGUCUGCACCCCCUCAGUAUUGUCUAGGGGCAAGGAAACACUCAUUAAGUUGCAACAGUGACGCCGUCUAUUCCAAGGGAAGUACCACAGAACUGAAACAGGAUAUCUGAUCUGUUUUCCUACUAGUACCACUUUGCUCUUGUAACUUCCAUCUUUUAUCCACAGACAGAAAGGUCACUUAAUCGAUCAUACCUACAAAUUCAUUUUCAAGAAUGCUAGUUACAGGAGAGAUCUGCACCUUUCACUAAUUUUUCUAAUUGGGCAGAACAUUCAAGCUUAUAGGAACUCCUAAGUAGAAGAUUUUGGGGCCUUUGUAUUGUCUUUUGCUUUUUCACUGUAUAAUUUUCCCUUUAACAGCCCAACAGUGUUAAAUCAACAGAGACAGUAGUUUCUGCUUCUGAAAUGGAUUUUUGUAUAGAUGAGAUAAAGAUUUCAAUCUUAACAAAAUGUACUAACCCUAUCUGUCUUACAGCACCCCCAGCUGAAAAUCUGUCUCUGCUAUUUCUAGGGAAAAAAGUACCUCUUGCUCUGUAAUGUCUGUAUACUGCAUUUUUUUCCAUCUGCUUCAAGUUAUUAGCAAGGCUAAUUUGUGAUUUGCAGUAAUUACAAGUGUUUUUUGUGGUUUGUAUAGCAAGCAUUUCUAUUAAGAAAUGGAAAUACUAAACCUGUAAAGCCAAGAAUUCUAAUACUACUAUUAGAAGGUACUUCAUUUGUCCAGAUGUUUUUCACACCUUUAUCAUGUCCAACACAGCUGAGUUGCCUUUUUCUUUUUUAUAUGCAUCUCAGCCAAGGAAGGUUGUGAAUUCUAAUGUUUAGCCAGCUUGUCAUUCUUCAGGAAGGUCUUAAACAAUGCUCAGGAAAUAAGGUUGGGAAGCUCAUUUCAAAGAGCCACAGACAUCUCUAAGACAGAUAUCCCUCAACAGUAAAUUCCAUUACUUUUCCUCUAAUAGUAAGGGCAGCUCAGGAAAUCACGUACUUCAGUAAUCGUCAACUAAAGCAACUCAGCCAUGCCUGAUCCCCAGUGAAGGAGGCAUAGCUACCAGCAGAUGCAAGAACUCUCUUUUAUAGACUUCUCUCUUGUCUAUAUAUUUUGGUCACAUCUACAAAAGUUUGAAAUACAUCUUUAAUUACAUUCUAAGAGAUGCCUUCAUCUCAAAUCUAACCAUUGACACAGAAGAAGCAUGUAGAAGAUGAACACAGUAACAAGGACAUUGUACACAAUGUAGCAGCAAAGCCACUAUUUAUUUGCAAGAACCACAACUGUGUCAUUUAAUAGACUGUCCAUUAGUGUUUGUUCAAUGAGGCAUUAACAAGAAACCCACUUGGCAAGUUAUCCCACAGUAUUUUCUGACAGUUUAAAAGUAAUUUAUCUCCAUAAAAUGUAAUUUAGAUAGCAUAUUCUAGUGAAUCUGGCUUUUAAUUUAAAAUGGCUUAGUUUAGAGGACUGUGUUUGCAAGACUAGCAUUAUCUGAAGAAGGAUGGAGAAACUCAAUCCUCAAAUUUCAACUUCUCUU
RNA transcript from Egretta garzetta (little egret), 4349 nucleotides. It is a transcript of the gene named LYR motif containing 1, with no coding region annotated. NCBI's taxonomy places the organism in Eukaryota, Metazoa, Chordata, Aves, Pelecaniformes, Ardeidae. The transcript is spliced from 5 exons. The record is from RefSeq and is a predicted model, not a curated record.